GAUGAACGCUGGCGGCGUGCCUAAUACAUGCAAGUCGAGCGAACAGAUAAGGAGCUUGCUCCUUUGACGUUAGCGGCGGACGGGUGAGUAACACGUGGGUAACCUACCUAUAAGACUGGAAUAACUCCGGGAAACCGGGGCUAAUGCCGGAUAACAUUUAGAACCGCAUGGUUCUAAAGUGAAAGAUGGUUUUGCUAUCACUUAUAGAUGGACCCGCGCCGUAUUAGCUAGUUGGUAAGGUAACGGCUUACCAAGGCAACGAUACGUAGCCGACCUGAGAGGGUGAUCGGCCACACUGGAACUGAGACACGGUCCAGACUCCUACGGGAGGCAGCAGUAGGGAAUCUUCCGCAAUGGGCGAAAGCCUGACGGAGCAACGCCGCGUGAGUGAUGAAGGUCUUCGGAUCGUAAAACUCUGUUAUUAGGGAAAAACAAAUGUGUAAGUAACUGUGCACGUCUUGACGGUACCUAAUCAGAAAGCCACGGCUAACUACGUG
This 497-nucleotide ribosomal RNA is filed under the name uncultured bacterium. RNAcentral's name for it is "partial 16S ribosomal RNA". It matches the Rfam family "Bacterial small subunit ribosomal RNA", at positions 28 to 507 of the family's 1533-position model. The record is from RNAcentral.